RNAcentral lists this long non-coding RNA (550 nucleotides) under Callithrix jacchus (white-tufted-ear marmoset). Its description in RNAcentral is "lncRNA (ENSCJAG00000071529.1)". The record is from RNAcentral. Lineage: Eukaryota; Metazoa; Chordata; Mammalia; Primates; Cebidae.
CCCCAUCUGAGGACACUUAGAUGAUGUCAUCUAUGUGGAACUAACCCUUACCAUACACCAAGUCUGCCAGUGCCUUAACCUUAGACUUUCCAGGCUUCAGAAGGGAAGUUGCUGUUGCUUAUAAAUUACUCACUGUUAGAUAUUUUGUUAUAGCAACACGAACAGACUCAGAUAAUCUCUAAGGUCAGUUUAUAACUAAAGGUUGUUAUUCUGGAGGGAAAGUUGGAUUCAUAGUGAAGAAGAGAAGUGAGUCCUUCAGCUGCAGAAUCAGAGCUAACCAUAAUUAAUAGUGAGUCAAGAUGAAUCCUGAGGUCAAAUGCCAGAGAGAUUAGAACAAAGAAAACAGGAACUGCAUUGCAAGAUAAGAGGUCUUGUGGAGCACAGAGAGACCAAGGAGGCCUGAGACUUGCUGAGAGCCUCUGAUUUUGUAGCACUUCUCCUUGCUGCCACCAUGUGAAGAAGGACAUUUGCUUCCCCUUACACCAUCAUUUAAAUUUCCUGAUUCCUCACCAGCCAUGCUGAACUGUGAGUCAAUUAAACCUCUUUUCUC